UUGAAAAAAGUUGAAUUUGGUUGCUUUUAAUAUUACUCUAAAAAUCAGAGGGUAGGUGAGUUAAUCCUUCUAAUCUGCAAAUAUUUUGAACUCACAUGCUUAAAUCCCUGCUAGGAAAAGUAUGCCCCUCCCUUCAAGCAGCUUUUAAUUUAAUUGGGGGUGAAAUAGAUAUGGAUUAUAGAUGGAGGAGUUCAAGGCUACCUUCACGCUGGUUUCCUCAGUGCCUGGCGAACAAUCCUUGGUAAGUUUUUGUUGAACCAUGUUGAAUGAACGCAACUGCAAGGUACAUUUACUAAAAUGCUCAGUUCUCUGGGUUUAGCAUGGAAAAGCGAGGGUUUCAUAGACUAAGAUGGGGGAACAGAAGGCAUGGUGGUUUGAGCUGGGUACUAUAGGGCAAGAAAUGGAGAAGUGAUUCUGGGUGAGGAGAAGCAAGAAGGCCAAACACUGGCAGUGGGAGGAGGGAGAGGAGGGAAGGAGGGCAUGUUUGCCUUACUGGAGCACUGGAUGCAGCGUGCGCAUGUUCGGAGGAUAAAGGGGAAAUGCUUAACAGCUUUGCUUAAAAUGCUUAAAUUCUCUCUGGCAACAGUUAAAAUCUCUAGGGAGCCAAGCAGAUUUAAAAACAAAAAACAAAAAACAAAAAAACCCCUGCAAGUUACACUACAUUUGGAUGUGUAGAGUUUUAAUAUUAUGGCUAAGUUGCAAGGGUAUAAAUCACUGCUCUUCUGUAUGUACCCAUGUGCCCUAGUUCCCUCAGGACUGCCCCUCUCCUCCUCUGAAAUACUUGACAUGUGUCAGAAUCGUCACAUGCACUCACCUGCUUCAAUGAUGCAGAAAGGAAAAUGACUUGAAGAAAAUCUAAAACUGAAUUUGAUCACAGAAGGGUCCAAAGGAGAGGGGAAGAGUUCUCGAGCCUUCCGAGGGUGGCUCAGCAAGAUUCUGAUGCCGGGAGAAAGGCAUAGAUUCAGCUUGCUAAUGCCUCCGGCAGAAUUCUUGCUCCAGGCUUGCAGAGAUCAGUGAGAGGGAGGCUGGAGCCAGGCACUGCUUCAAGACGGUUUGAAUUUGGCAAGACGGAGGGUGCUAGACCACAGUGACCUGGACAUGCCGCAAAGUCAAGAGUUGAAAACCAUCUCUCUGCUGCACUCCCAGAUGUUCUCCUUGAGGGGCUCAGCCUGAGGGAGGGAGCACAUCUCUGCUGAGCACAGACAGACAGGAUGCCUGUAUGUGUCCGUGCCUGGGUGCCGCCAGGACUAGCUUGCGGUUGUUGGAGCAACACCUACAUUUACUUCCGUUUAACACUGGCAUGGCUGAGUCAGGGUUAAAAGAAAAAAAAAAAAA
Callorhinus ursinus (northern fur seal) is the source of this 1335-nucleotide non-coding RNA. Lineage: Eukaryota; Metazoa; Chordata; Mammalia; Carnivora; Otariidae. The record is from RefSeq and is a predicted model, not a curated record.